AACGAACGCUGGCGGCAUGCCUAAUACAUGCAAGUCGAACGAAACCUUCGGGUCUUUUGGCGCCUGGCUUCAUCACCCGUCGGAACCUUCACAUGGGUUCGACAUACCUCCACGACUGGGGUACCAUCAGCGAACCAUAUCUACUGCCCAAUGAUAUAUCGACUUAGAAUGUGCGCUCGUUGGAUUAGGUUGUUCGUAGGGUAAUAGCCUACCAAGGCGACGAUCCAUAGCUGGUCUGAGAGGCUGAUCAGCCACACUGGGACUGAGACCCGGCCCAGACUCUUACGGGAGGCAGCAGAGGGGAAUAUUGGACAAUGGGCGGAAGGCUGAUCCAGCAAGGCCGGGUGAGCGAUGAAGGCAUUAAGGUUGUAAAGCUCUUUUACCCGUGAUGAUAAUGACGGUACCGGGAGAAUAAGCCCCGGCUAACUCCGUG
This 433-nucleotide ribosomal RNA is filed under the name uncultured bacterium. RNAcentral describes it as "partial 16S ribosomal RNA". It matches the Rfam family "Bacterial small subunit ribosomal RNA", at positions 29 to 507 of the family's 1533-position model. The record is from RNAcentral.